GGGAUUUUUUGGAAAGGGGGAAAAUUUUUCCCAACAACCCGCGUGAGGGAAAAAAGUUUUUGGAUUGUAAAAAUUUUUUUUUUAGGAAGAACAAGGAGGAGGGUACCCUCUUCAUCCCCUUGCCGGUAUUUUACCAAAAAAACCCCGGGUAAAUACGUGCCAGCAACCGCGGUAAUAACGUAGGUGCCAAACGUUGUCCCGGAUUUAUUUGGCGUAAAACGAGGGCAGGCGGUUUUUUAAGUCUGAUGUGAAAACCCCCGGCUCAACCGGGGAGGGUCAUUGGAAACUGGGAGACUUGAGUGCAGAAGAGGAGAGUGGAAUUCCAUGUGUAGCGGUGAAAUGCGUAGAUAUAUGGAGGAACACCAGUGGCGAAGGCGGCUCUCUGGUCUGUAACUGACGCUGAGGCUCGAAAGCGUGGGGAGCAAACAGGAUUAGAUACCCUGGUAGUCCACGCCGUAAACGAUGAGUGCUAAGUGUUGGAGGGUUUCCGCCCUUCAGUGCUGCAGCUAACGCAUUAAGCACUCCGCCUGGGGAGUACGACCGCAAGGUUGAAACUCAAAGGAAUUGACGGGGGCCCGCACAAGCGGUGGAGCAUGUGGUUUAAUUCGAAGCAACGCGAAGAACCUUACCAGGUCUUGACAUCCUUUGACCACUCUAGAGAUAGAGCUUCCCCUUCGGGGGCAAAGUGACAGGUGGUGCAUGGUUGUCGUCAGCUCGUGUCGUGAGAUGUUGGGUUAAGUCCCGCAACGAGCGCAACCCUUAUUGUUAGUUGCCAUCAUUCAGUUGGGCACUCUAGCAAGACUGCCGGUGACAAACCGGAGGAAGGUGGGGAUGACGUCAAAUCAUCAUGCCCCUUAUGACCUGGGCUACACACGUGCUACAAUGGGGAAGUACAACGAGUUGCGAAGUCGCGAGGCUAAGCUAAUCUCUUAAAGCUUCUCUCAGUUCGGAUUGCAGGCUGCAACUCGCCUGCAUGAAUCCGGAAUCGGCUAGUAAUCGCGGAUCAGCACGCCGCGGUGAAUACGGUUCGCCGGGCCGUUGUACACACCGCGCGUCACACCACGAGAGUUUGUAACACCCGAAGUCGGUGAGGUAACCUUUUGGAGCCAGCCGCCUAAAGUGGGAAUAGGUGAUGGGGGUGAAGUCGUACAGGGU
Molecule: ribosomal RNA, 1155 nt
Filed under: Enterococcus faecium
Lineage: Bacteria; Bacillati; Bacillota; Bacilli; Lactobacillales; Enterococcaceae
Description: bacterial SSU rRNA
Rfam family: Bacterial small subunit ribosomal RNA
Source: RNAcentral